This 1218-nucleotide long non-coding RNA is filed under the name Equus caballus (horse). RNAcentral's name for it is "lncRNA (ENSECAG00000042134.2)". The record is from RNAcentral. Lineage: Eukaryota; Metazoa; Chordata; Mammalia; Perissodactyla; Equidae.
AGAAGCCACUAUGUAUGGAGAAGAAUAAACUGGGCUUCACAGUUUCCCACAACUGCUGAUAAUGGUGAAAUACUAAUGUCUUUUCAAGAAAGGAAAAAAAUGCUGAUAAUCUCAUAAAAGGAAGACUUAGCAGUCAUUCAAAUAAUGAGGGAAGUUUUGGAACGAGAACUUCCACUGGCACCUUCUUGGAUGACUCCGCCCCUGCUAUCAGCAUUUAGCCAACAGAGAUGAACUCGAAAUGGAAAGAACAAAGUCAAGGCAGUGACGGAUGAUGAGCAUGGUUUUCUCAAAAAGGCUUUGCUUUCAUUCCCGGUGUGAAGAAAAGAAAAUGACUGUACAGUGAGAUGAGCCCUUCAACAGGUCACACGACGGUACUGCCGCUGCUCUCUGAAGCUGCAGUUGAAGGCACCAGGCGCUGUAGCUAUUAUGUUUUGAGCACUGGUAUUCUCACAAUCUAGUCUAGGAGAUAAUGAGUCUCUAUCUCUAUACUUGCCUUGGCCUAAUGAAAGCAAAGCGAAGACAGGAACUUUCCAAUCCCCUGAAUAGUUAUUGUUUCCCCAAAGCCAAUAUUCUCACUGAAGAGUGACGGGAUGUUAAUUGGAGAAUCAUGUUUUAUAUUUGCACUAGAUUUUGAGUGCCUUUUCUGUUCCAUUGUUUUAUGUGAUGCUGGGCGUUUGCUUAAGAAUGAUCCCAUCCUUCUGACAGCUGAGCAUCCUUACCUCUCUCUCCUUGCAUCACGCAACAACAAGCUCUGACACUUGGUGCUCUGAGAGCAGGAAGAAAGACGUUCACCAGACUGCAAGCUCAACGUGAUCAGAGACGGUGGCCUUUGUACCUCUAGCACCUCCCAAAAAAUAGGUGCUUAAUAAAUACGCUUAAGUAAAUGGAAGGAAGAGCUAUGCAGACAACUGCUUCUUUAGCACUGGGUGACAACUCCGAGAAGAUUUGGAGCGGAAUAACCACAUGGAACGUUACUUAUGUCGUUUCCAAAGGAGACUUGCUGAAGGUCCUUUGAUUUGAAGCUGUAUGACUUCAGGAAAUUGAUGUUUGGCCAGGAAUUUAAAGAUUGCUUUCUUUAUUGGGACUAUGAUCAUUGAAAGAAUGUUAUAUUUACAUUUGGGAAAUCUCUAAGUUGUUGGAAUUGUGCUAGUGGGAUUUCUAUGCAUUUCAUUAUUGGAUAUCGUUUGAUCUCUGAAAGACUAUGUUGGAUAACCCCGG